Molecule: long non-coding RNA, 505 nt
Filed under: Marmota monax (woodchuck)
Lineage: Eukaryota; Metazoa; Chordata; Mammalia; Rodentia; Sciuridae
Source: RNAcentral
GUGCAGGACUACAUUUUAUUCUAGGGAGCCAGAAGGGCCAAGAGGCCAGGUCCACUCCCCAGGCCCAGGUGAGCAUCCUGGAAAGGUAUCAGGAAAUGGGGCCUGGUAGGGACAGGGACAAAAGGAGGGCCAAAGGAGUGCACAGCAUGAAGGGCCGGAGGAAGGGUCCUAGAGUGAGGGGGCCAGGACCCCAGCAAGGAGCCCAGGCUUGAGACCAAGUUCUGGGAGCAUGCCAGGGGAGAACAGGGAAGGGCAGGGCCAGGCAGGCGGGCAGCACUAGUGGACUGCAGUGCAGGGAAACUAAGGGAGCUGGGAAGUUCCCCAAGCAAGGGGCUCACAGUCAACGCCCAGGGACGCGCUGGGUAACAAGGCCACCAGAGGCUCAAGCUAGGAACCAGACCAGGAAUGGAGAGCCAAGGGCUGGGGCUGGGGCAGAGGGCUCAGGACAGUGGACAGGGAUGGGGAGGGAAGGCAGGGUCCAGGCAGUGCCAGGAUACCACAGCAC